CCGACCGGCGCACGGGUGAGUAACGCGUAUGCAACUUACCUAUCAGAGGGGGGUAACCCGGCGAAAGUCGGACUAAUACCGCAUGAAGCAGGGAUCCCGCAUGGGAAUAUUUGCUAAAGAUUCAUCGCUGAUAGAUAGGCAUGCGUUCCAUUAGGCAGUUGGCGGGGUAACGGCCCACCAAACCGACGAUGGAUAGGGGUUCUGAGAGGAAGGUCCCCCACAUUGGUACUGAGACACGGACCAA
This 244-nucleotide ribosomal RNA is filed under the name uncultured bacterium. RNAcentral's name for it is "partial 16S ribosomal RNA". It matches the Rfam family "Bacterial small subunit ribosomal RNA", at positions 91 to 334 of the family's 1533-position model. The record is from RNAcentral.